RNAcentral lists this ribosomal RNA (866 nucleotides) under uncultured Lactococcus sp. RNAcentral describes it as "bacterial SSU rRNA". It matches the Rfam family "Bacterial small subunit ribosomal RNA", at positions 1 to 856 of the family's 1533-position model. Lineage: Bacteria; Bacillati; Bacillota; Bacilli; Lactobacillales; Streptococcaceae. The record is from RNAcentral.
UAGAGUUUGAUCAUGGCUCAGGACGAACGCUGGCGGCGUGCCUAAUACAUGCAAGUUGAGCGCUGAAGGUUGGUACUUGUACCGACUGGAUGAGCAGCGAACGGGUGAGUAACGCGUGGGGAAUCUGCCUUUGAGCGGGGGACAACAUUUGGAAACGAAUGCUAAUACCGCAUAAAAACUUUAAACACAAGUUUUAAGUUUGAAAGAUGCAAUUGCAUCACUCAAAGAUGAUCCCGCGUUGUAUUAGCUAGUUGGUGAGGUAAAGGCUCACCAAGGCGAUGAUACAUAGCCGACCUGAGAGGGUGAUCGGCCACAUUGGGACUGAGACACGGCCCAAACUCCUACGGGAGGCAGCAGUAGGGAAUCUUCGGCAAUGGACGAAAGUCUGACCGAGCAACGCCGCGUGAGUGAAGAAGGUUUUCGGAUCGUAAAACUCUGUUGGUAGAGAAGAACGUUGGUGAGAGUGGAAAGCUCAUCAAGUGACGGUAACUACCCAGAAAGGGACGGCUAACUACGUGCCAGCAGCCGCGGUAAUACGUAGGUCCCGAGCGUUGUCCGGAUUUAUUGGGCGUAAAGCGAGCGCAGGUGGUUUAUUAAGUCUGGUGUAAAAGGCAGUGGCUCAACCAUUGUAUGCAUUGGAAACUGGUAGACUUGAGUGCAGGAGAGGAGAGUGGAAUUCCAUGUGUAGCGGUGAAAUGCGUAGAUAUAUGGAGGAACACCGGUGGCGAAAGCGGCUCUCUGGCCUGUAACUGACACUGAGGCUCGAAAGCGUGGGGAGCAAACAGGAUUAGAUACCCUGGUAGUCCACGCCGUAAACGAUGAGUGCUAGAUGCAGGGAGCUAUAAGUUCUCUGUAUCGCAGCUAAC